Molecule: ribosomal RNA, 374 nt
Filed under: uncultured organism
Description: partial 16S ribosomal RNA
Rfam family: Bacterial small subunit ribosomal RNA
Source: RNAcentral
GUAGGUGGCAAGCGUUGUCCGGAAUUAUUGGGCGUAAAGCGCGCGCAGGCGGUUCUUUAAGUCUGAUGUGAAAGCCCACGGCUCAACCGUGGAGGGUCAUUGGAAACUGGAGAACUUGAGUACAGAAGAGGAAAGCGGAAUUCCACGUGUAGCGGUGAAAUGCGUAGAGAUGUGGAGGAACGCCAGUGGCGAAGGCGGCUUUCUGGUCUGUAACUGACGCUGAGGCGCGAAAGCGUGGGGAGCAAACAGGGAUUAGAUACCCUGGUAGUCCACGCCGUAAACGAUGAGUGCUAAGUGUUAGGGGGUUUCCCGCCCCUUAGUGCUGCAGCUAACGCAUUAAGCACUCCGCCUGGGGGAGUACGGCCGCAAGGCUG